UCUUUGACCUCGGAUCAGGUAGGGAUACCCGCUGAACUUAAGCAUAUCAAUAAGCGGAGGAAAAGAAACCAACAGGGAUUGCCUCAGUAACGGCGAGUGAAGCGGCAACAGCUCAAAUUUGAAAUCUGGCUCCCUUUGGGGGUCCGAGUUGUAAUUUGCAGAGGAUGCUUUGGCAUUGGCGGCGGUCUAAGUUCCUUGGAACAGGACAUCGCAGAGGGUGAGGAUCCCGUACGUGGGCGCCUGCCUUUGCCGUGUAAAGCUCCUUCGACGAGUCGAGUUGUUUGGGAAUGCAGCUCUAAAUGGGAGGUAAAUUUCUUCUAAAGCUAAAUACCGGCCAGAGACCGAUAGCGCACAAGUAGAGUGAUCGAAAGAUGAAAAGUACUUUGGAAAGAGAGUCAAAUAACACGUGAAAUUGUUGAAAGGGAAGCGCUUGCAGCCAGACUUGCCCGCAGUUGCUCACCCAGGCUCUUGCCUGGGGCACUCUUCUGCGGGCAGGCCAGCAUCAGUUUGGGCGGUUGGAUAAAGGCCUCUUUCACGUACCACCCUUCGGGGUGGCCUUAUAGAGGAGGCGUAACGCAACCAGCCCGGACUGAGGUCCGCGCAUCUGCUAGGAUGCUGGCGUAAUGGCUGUAAGCGGCCCGUCUUGAAACACGGACCAAGGAGUCUAACAUCUAUGCGAGUGUUUGGGUGUCAAGCCCGGGCGCGCAAUGAAAGUAAACGGAGGUGGGAACCCUUCGGGGCGCACCAUCGACCGAUCCUGAUGUCUUCGGAUGGAUUUGAGUAAGAGCAUAGCUGUUGGGACCCGAAAGAUGGUGAACUAUGCUUGAAUAGGGUGAAGCCAGAGGAAACUCUGGUGGAGGCUCGCAGCGGUUCUGACGUGCAAAUCGAUCGUCAAAUUUGGGCAUAGGGGCGAAAGACUAAUCGAACCAUCUAGUGGCUGGUUCCUGCCGAAGUUUCCCUCAGGAUAGCAGUAACGUUUUCAGUUUUAUGAGGUAAAGCGAAUGAUUUAGAGGCAUG
Molecule: ribosomal RNA, 1017 nt
Filed under: uncultured Ascomycota
Lineage: Eukaryota; Fungi; Ascomycota
Description: eukaryotic LSU rRNA
Rfam family: Eukaryotic large subunit ribosomal RNA
Source: RNAcentral